AAGUUCCGGCAGAGACCUAGCCUGCUUCUUCAGAUUUGCAAUCUGAUAUGUAGUACACCUCGGAACU
This 67-nucleotide transfer RNA is filed under the name Plectropomus leopardus (leopard coralgrouper). RNAcentral describes it as "tRNA-Cys". Lineage: Eukaryota; Metazoa; Chordata; Actinopteri; Perciformes; Serranidae. The record is from RNAcentral.